RNAcentral lists this ribosomal RNA (591 nucleotides) under Paenibacillus polymyxa. RNAcentral describes it as "bacterial SSU rRNA". It matches the Rfam family "Bacterial small subunit ribosomal RNA", at positions 110 to 686 of the family's 1533-position model. Lineage: Bacteria; Bacillati; Bacillota; Bacilli; Caryophanales; Paenibacillaceae. The record is from RNAcentral.
GUAACACGUGGGUAACCUGCCUGUAAGACUGGGAUAACUCCGGGAAACCGGGGCUAAUACCGGAUGGUUGUUUGAACCGCAUGGUUCAAACAUAAAAGGUGGCUUCGGCUACCACUUACAGAUGGACCCGCGGCGCAUUAGCUAGUUGGUGAGGUAACGGCUCACCAAGGCAACGAUGCGUAGCCGACCUGAGAGGGUGAUCGGCCACACUGGGACUGAGACACGGCCCAGACUCCUACGGGAGGCAGCAGUAGGGAAUCUUCCGCAAUGGACGAAAGUCUGACGGAGCAACGCCGCGUGAGUGAUGAAGGUUUUCGGAUCGUAAAGCUCUGUUGUUAGGGAAGAACAAGUACCGUUCGAAUAGGGCGGUACCUUGACGGUACCUAACCAGAAAGCCACGGCUAACUACGUGCCAGCAGCCGCGGUAAUACGUAGGUGGCAAGCGUUGUCCGGAAUUAUUGGGCGUAAAGGGCUCGCAGGCGGUUUCUUAAGUCUGAUGUGAAAGCCCCCGGCUCAACCGGGGAGGGUCAUUGGAAACUGGGGAACUUGAGUGCACAAGAGGAGAGUGGAAUUCCACGUGUAGCGGUGAAA